UUUACUUAUUAAAUGAAUUUCUAAUUCAAUGUAGGUAAUACCUUAAGUAAAG
This 52-nucleotide transfer RNA is filed under the name Romanomermis culicivorax. RNAcentral describes it as "tRNA-Ser". Lineage: Eukaryota; Metazoa; Nematoda; Enoplea; Mermithida; Mermithidae. The record is from RNAcentral.